CCUACGGGAGGCUGCAGUGGGGAAUUUUGCGCAAUGGGCGAAAGCCUGACGCAGCAACGCCGCGUGGAGGAUGAAGGCCUUCGGGUCGUAAACUCCUGUCAGUGGGGACGAAUGCCUCGCAAGAGGUUUGACUGUACCCGUUGAGGAAGCCACGGCUAACUCCGUGCCAGCAGCCGCGGUAAUACGGAGGUGGCAAGCGUUGUUCGGAAUUACUGGGCGUAAAGGGCGCGUAGGCGGCUUGGCAAGUCAGAUGUGAAAGCCCCGGGCUUAACCCGGGAAUUGCAUCUGAAACUGCUUUGCUUGAGUCCUGGAGGGGGUAGUGGAAUUCCCAGUGUAGCGGUGAAAUGCGUAGAUAUUGGGAGGAACACCUGCGGCGAAGGCGGCUACCUGGACAGUGACUGACGCUGAGGCGCGAAAGCUAGGGGAGCGAACGGGCUUAGAUACCCGAGUAGUC
RNAcentral lists this ribosomal RNA (454 nucleotides) under uncultured Acidobacteriota bacterium. Its description in RNAcentral is "bacterial SSU rRNA". It matches the Rfam family "Bacterial small subunit ribosomal RNA", at positions 338 to 795 of the family's 1533-position model. The record is from RNAcentral. Lineage: Bacteria; Pseudomonadati; Acidobacteriota.